AUUGAACGCUGGCGGCAUGCUUUACACAUGCAAGUCGAACGGUAACAGCACUUCGGUGGCUGACGAGUGGCGAACGGGUGAGUAAUACAUCGGAACGUGCCUAGUAGUGGGGGAUAACUACUCGAAAGAGUAGCUAAUACCGCAUGAGAUCUAAGGAUGAAAGCAGGGGACCUUCGGGCCUUGCGCUACUAGAGCGGCUGAUGGCAGAUUAGGUAGUUGGUGGGAUAAAAGCUUACCAAGCCGACGAUCUGUAGCUGGUCUGAGAGGACGACCAGCCACACUGGGACUGAGACACGGCCCAGACUCCUACGGGAGGCAGCAGUGGGGAAUUUUGGACAAUGGGCGCAAGCCUGAUCCAGCAAUGCCGCGUGCAGGAUGAAGGCCUUCGGGUUGUAAACUGCUUUUGUACGGAACGAAAAGCCCUCUUCUAAUACAGGAGGGUCAUGAUGGUACCGUAAGAAUAAGCACCGGCUAACUACGUG
RNAcentral lists this ribosomal RNA (482 nucleotides) under uncultured bacterium. RNAcentral describes it as "partial 16S ribosomal RNA". It matches the Rfam family "Bacterial small subunit ribosomal RNA", at positions 30 to 507 of the family's 1533-position model. The record is from RNAcentral.